RNAcentral lists this ribosomal RNA (471 nucleotides) under uncultured bacterium. RNAcentral describes it as "partial 16S ribosomal RNA". It matches the Rfam family "Bacterial small subunit ribosomal RNA", at positions 28 to 507 of the family's 1533-position model. The record is from RNAcentral.
GACGAACGCUGGCGGCGUGCUUAACACAUGCAAGUCGAACGCUGAAGCUUGGUGCUUGCACUGGGUGGAUGAGUGGCGAACGGGUGAGUAAUACGUGAGUAACCUGCCCUUGACUCUGGGAUAAGCCUGGGAAACUGGGUCUAAUACUGGAUAUGACAUGCCACUGCAUGGUGGUGUGUGGAAAGGGUUUUACUGGUUUUGGAUGGGCUCACGGCCUAUCAGCUUGUUGGUGGGGUAAUGGCCUACCAAGGCGACGCGGGGUAGCCGGCCUGAGAGGGUGGCCGCCAAAACUGGGCUGGGGAACCGGCCAAGACCCUUCGGGGGGGAAGAGGUGGGGAAAAUUGCCCAAUGGGCGAAAGCCUGAUGAGGCGAGGCGGCUGGGGGAAUAACGGCCUUGGGGUGGAAACCUCUUUCAGCACGGAAGAAGCGAGAGUGACGGUACGUGCAGAAGAAGCGCCGGCUAACUACGUG